UCAGUGCUCACCAGUCGUCCACCAAGGUGGGUUUAUACUUUACUUUCUUUACUUUGGACUCCAAUGGUUAUAAGGAAUAAGCACUCAUUUUCUUGAAAGAUGACACAUUUUAAGAAUUGAGUUUGGCAUUCGUUUUGAUGUGAUGAAAUGGCAGACCUAAGCCCCUUGCUUUAAAGAGCAAACAAAGAAAAACAACGGUGUUUAUAAGUUUUAUUUAUUGCACAGUUUUUAUUUUAAGCUUUACAAUAUAAAUAAGUUUUUUAAUUUAUUCACUUUGCUAAAAAUGAAGUAAAUAACCUUAAAAUUACCAUGUGUUGAGAGGUAAGUUGUGUUAAUAUAUUUAAAUAAGUAUAUAUAACAAUAUAUUAACAGAAAUUACGCAUGUAAGAAAAUAUACAAUAUUCGUUUUCUUGAAAGGUGUCAAAGAGCGUAAUCGAGCCCACUUUAUAAGGCAGAUACAGAUUUUUGAGAUGCGCAGAUAUGCAAACGCUUACUGACUGACUAUACGAC
Molecule: long non-coding RNA, 510 nt
Organism: Drosophila yakuba
Lineage: Eukaryota; Metazoa; Arthropoda; Insecta; Diptera; Drosophilidae
Exons: 2
Source: RefSeq, a predicted model, not a curated record